RNAcentral lists this long non-coding RNA (1064 nucleotides) under Mus caroli (Ryukyu mouse). RNAcentral describes it as "lncRNA (MGP_CAROLIEiJ_G0004901.1)". The record is from RNAcentral. Lineage: Eukaryota; Metazoa; Chordata; Mammalia; Rodentia; Muridae.
AACUGAUUUCCUCAGGGAGACUAACAUCUCAUUCAAACCACAGCAGCCUGCGAAAGCUAGGCUUCAUUCUUGUGUGUGUGUCCAGGAUCUUUCGUGGGCCCAAAGAAGUGAAGAGGGUCUUUACUGCCUUACCGCUAGUAUUUGCCACAGAAGCAGAAGCGAAGGACCAAGACAUCUUACAGAAGAAAGGGUUUACAGUUCCAGAGUGAUGAGCAUUCCUGGUGACAGAGUUGAAGCAUGGAGCAUGACAGCAAGUGACAGGCAAGACUACAUAGACAAGGAGGAAACUGAGAGCUCACACUUGACAAAGCAGAGAAUGCGAACUGGAGUGUAAACUGAAGACCAGAAGCUGACCUUUGGAGACAUCUAGUCCAGCAGAGCAGCUGCUGCAUUCUCAGUAUCUUCAACGUGAGACAACCAUGUCGGAAAACCCAACCCAUAUCACUUUCAGGUUCUGAUGUCACUGUCUGGCCCAAGGCCCCUGCAUGCAGUGGUGCUCCUGCAUAUGAACUCACAUAAGCGCAAGCAAACACAUAAAAACAAAAAGAUAAAGUUUCACAGCGAAACAUUCACACCACAGCAUGGACGCUUCUCUCUGCACUUGGACAUAUUUUCAGUGGAAAGAAGAGAAUGCAGACAAAAAAAGUCAGAUGCUCCUGUCAAUGCCUGCCUGUGGAUGCCAUCACCUCCGUAGGCCACAAGUUCACGGGAAGUAGAUCCCUGAACAUCUCACACCUCACAACGGUCGUCUAGGCUAGAUGAAAUAGCUCUUCUGCCUUGAAAGAUCUCCCGAGUGUGUGUCAGCCACCUGUGAGUCCAAAGCCUUACCAACUGGUACUCGGCGAAGAUUCUGCCUGCAGCCCAAAACUGAGCAAGCUCUCUCUUAGUCUAUGCCUGUGUCACAACCUAAUCAUCCCAGCGACGAUCACCUCCCACUCCCCUCGCAGAGUGCCCACUCGCUUAAAACGCACUGGCUGUAAUGUUUAUUACCCAGUGAGGACACCAGUGUUAUUGAUAGCAGCAAUAAGGAUACCAUCAAACAUGAAUGUUCACAUUCAGCAAGG